UACGUAGGUGGCGAGCGUUAUCCGGAAUUAUUGGGCGUAAAGAGCGCGCAGGUGGUUGAUUAAGUCUGAUGUGAAAGCCCACGGCUUAACCGUGGAGGGUCAUUGGAAACUGGUCAACUUGAGUGCAGAAGAGGGAAGUGGAAUUCCAUGUGUAGCGGUGAAAUGCGUAGAGAUAUGGAGGAACACCAGUGGCGAAGGCGGCUUCCUGGUCUGUAAACUGACACUGAGGCGCGAAAGCGUGGGGAUCAAACAGGAUUAGAUA
This 262-nucleotide ribosomal RNA is filed under the name uncultured prokaryote. RNAcentral's name for it is "partial 16S ribosomal RNA". It matches the Rfam family "Bacterial small subunit ribosomal RNA", at positions 524 to 784 of the family's 1533-position model. The record is from RNAcentral.